UUCUUCUUGAGGUCUCUCCUUGAGGACUGAGAGAGAAUUCACUUUCACCCAGUCGAUUGCCAUAGUGUCAUCACUCUGCCUGCUGGCUGGGCAGGGUAACUCCUCAGGUCACCACCUCUCCAGCCUGCCUUGGGCUUGGAGAGUGAGGAGGAGGGCGAGGGACAUCUGCUGACCCUGAACAUCCGCCAUCCAUCAUACCAUCACCUAGAGCAAGGACCCCCAGGGAUUCAGAGGAGGAGGAAUGGCUGGACAUGGCCACAGAUUAAGCUGCUCUCAAGGUCAUCAGAGAGCAGCUCCAGUGCAGAGAAAAG
Molecule: long non-coding RNA, 311 nt
Organism: Mauremys reevesii (Reeves's turtle)
Lineage: Eukaryota; Metazoa; Chordata; Testudines; Geoemydidae
Exons: 3
Source: RefSeq, a predicted model, not a curated record